CCAAUUCCCUACCUGUCUUCCAGUCCCUGGCAAAUGCAAGUGAGGCCAUCGUCUCAGUCAUUUUGGGUUGCUAUCACAAAGUACCGUAGACUGGGUGGCUUAGAACAACAAACAUUUACUUCUCACCGUUCUGGAGGCUGGAAGUCCAACUGAGAGCACAUGACGUAAGAUGUUCUGUUUCCAAGCAACAGUCAUAGGUUUUGAGAAAUGGAAUGUUGCCUGCCCGUAUCAGUAAACAAAGGAUGUCACAGUCAUCAGCCAUUGCAGCCACCUCCGAUGGUGAGCUGGUGAGCCCUGAGGGCACUC
Orcinus orca (killer whale) is the source of this 306-nucleotide long non-coding RNA. RefSeq lists it as uncharacterized. NCBI's taxonomy places the organism in Eukaryota, Metazoa, Chordata, Mammalia, Artiodactyla, Delphinidae. The record is from RefSeq and is a predicted model, not a curated record. The transcript has 3 exons.